CCAUUAGUUUCCAUGGGAUGAUGAUUCCAUUCGGGUCCAUUCGAUGAUGAUGACCCUGGAUUUCAUUCCAUAAUUCUAUUCGAUUCCAUUCGAUGAUGAUUGCAUUCAUUUCCAUCCGAUGAUGAUUCCAUUCGAUUCCGUUCAAUGAUUAUUCCAUUCGAGUCCAUUCGAUGAUUCCAUUCGAUUCCAUUCGAUGAUGAUUGCAUUCGAGUCCAUGGAUUAUUCCAUUCCAUUCCAUUAGAUGAUUCCAUUCGGGUCCGUCCGAUGAUUCUCUUCGAUUCCAUUCGAUAAUUCCGUUUUUUUCCGUUUGAUGUUGAUUCCAUUCGAUUCCAUUCGAUGAUAAUUCCAUUCGAUUCUAUGCGAUGAUUCCAUUCCAUACCAUUUGAAGAUGAUUCCAUUCGAGACCAUUCGAUGAUUGCAUUCAAUUCAUUCGAUGACGAUUCCAUUCAAUUCCGUUCAAUGAUUCCAUUUGAUUCCAUUUGAUGUUGAUUCCAUUCGAUUCCAUUUUAUGAUGAUUCCAUGCAAUUCCAUUAGAUGAUGACUCCUUUCAUUUCCAUUCGAUGAUGAUUCCAUUCGUUUCCAUCCGAUGAUGAUUCCAUUCGAUUCCGUUCAAUGAUUAUUCCAUUCGAGUCCAUUCGAUGAUUCCAUUCGAUUCUACACGAUGAUGAUUGCAUUCGAGUCCGUGGAUUAUUCUAUUCAAUUCCAUUAGAUUAUUCCAUUCGAGUCCAGUCGAUGAUUCUCUUCGAUUCCAUUCGAUAAUUCCGCUUGAUUCCAUUUGAUGUUGAUUCCAUUCGAGUCCAUUCAAUUUUAAUUCCAUUCGAUUCUAUGCGAUGAUUCCAUUACUUUCCAUUAGAAGAUGAUUGCAUUCGAGACCAUUCGAUGAUUCCAUUCAAUUCAUUUGAUGACGAUUCCAUUCAAUUCUGUUCAAUGAUUCCAUUAGAUUCCAUUUGAUGAUGAUUCCAUUCGAUUCCAUUUGAUGAUGAUUCCAUGCGAUUCCUUUAGAUGAUGACCCCUUUCAUUUCCAUUCAAUGAGGAUUCCAUUCGGUUCCAUUUGAUGAUGAUUCCUUUGAAUUCCAUUUGAUGAGGGGGGGCAAAAAAAAACAAUUGAUGAUGGUUAUUUUUGAUUCCAUUUGAUGAUGUAUUACAUUCGAUUCCAUUUGAUCAUAAUUCCAUUCGAUUCCACUCGAUGAUUCCAUUCGAUUCCAUUCAAUGAUGAUUCCAUUCGAGUUCAUUGACUGUUCCAUUCCAUUCCAUUCGAUGAUUCCAUUCGAGUCCAUUCGAUGAUUCUAUUCGAUUGCAUUCGAUAAUUCCAUUCGAUUGCAUUCGAUAAUUCCAUUCGAUUCCAUUGGAGGAUAAUUCCAUUAGAGUCCAUUCGAUGAUUGUUCCAUUCGAUUCUAUUCGGUGAUUCCAUUCGAUUCCAUUUGAUAAUAAUUCCAAUCGAGACCAUUCGAUGAUUCCAUUCAAUUCCAUUCAAUAAUGAUCCCUUUCGAGUCCAUUCAAUGAUUCCAUUCCAGUCCAUUCUAUGAUUCCAUCUGAUUCCAUUCAAUGAAUCCAUUCGAUUCCAUUCUAUGACGAUUCCAUUCAUUUCCAUCUGAUGAUGAUUCCUUUCGAUUCCAUUUUAUGAUGAUUCCAUGCAAUUCCAUUAGAUGAUGAUUCCUUUCAUUUCCAUUCGAUGAUGAUUCCAUUCGUUUCCAUCCGAAGAUGAUUCCAUUCGAUUCCGUUCAAUGAUUAUUCCAUUCGAGUCCAUUCGAUGAUUCCAUUCGAUUCCAUUCGAUGAUGAUUGCAUUCGAGUCCAUGGAUUAUUCCAUUCCAUUCCAUUGGAGGAUAAUUCCAUUUGAGUCCAUUCGAUGAUAGUUCCAUUCGAUUCUAUUCGGUGAUUCCAUUCGAUUCCAUUUGAUAAUGAUUCCAAUCGAGACCAUUCGAUGAUUCCAUUCAAUUCCAUUCAAUCAUGAUCCCUUUCGAGUCCAUUCAAUGAUUCCAUUCCAGUCCAUUCGAUGAUUCCAUCUGAUUCCAUUCAAUGAAUCCAUUCGAUUCCAUUCUAUGACGAUUCCAUUCAUUUCCAUCUGAUGAUGAUUCCAUUCGAUUCCAUUCAAUGAUACCAUUCGAUUCCAUUUGAUGAUGAUUUCAAUCAAUUUUAUUCGAUGAUUCCAUUCGAAUCCAUUCGAAGAUGAGUCCAUCCAUUUCAAUUUCAUGAUAAUUCCAUUCGUUUCAAUUCGAUGGUGUUUCCAUUCGAUUCAUUCGAUGUUGAUUCCAUUAGCUUCCGUUGGAUGAUGAUUCCAUUCGGGUCCAUUCGAUGAUGAUGACACUGGAUUUCAUUCCAUAAUUCUAUUCGAUUCCAUUCGAUAAUGAUUCCAUUCAUUUCCAUCCGAUGAUGAUUCCAUUCGAUUCCGUUCAGUGAUUAUUCCAUUCGAGUCCAUUCGAUGAUUCCAUUCGAUUCCAUUCGAUGAUGAUUGCAUUCGAGUCCAUGGAUUAUUCCAUUCCAUUCCAUUAGACGAUUCCAUUCGGGACCAUUCUAUGAUUCUCUUCGAUUCCAUUCGAUAAUUCCGUUUUUUUCCGUUUGAUGUUGAUUCCAUUCGAUUCCAUUCGAUGAUAAUUCCAUUCGAUUCUAUGCGAUGAUUCCAUUCCAUUCCAUUUGAAGAUGAUUCCAUUCGAGACCAUUCGAUGAUUGCAUUCAAUUCAUUCGAUGACGAUUCCAUUCAAUUCUGUUCAAUGAUUCCAUUAGAUUCCAUCUGAUGAUGAUUCCAUUCGAUUCCAUUUGAUGAUGAUUCCAUGCGAUUCCAUUAGAUGAUGACCCCUUUCAUUUCCAUUCAAUUAGGAUUCCUUUCGGUUCCAUUUGGUGAUGAUUCCUUUGAAUUCCAUUUGAUGACAAUUCCAUUCAAUACCAAUUGAUGAUGGUUAUCUUUGAUUCCAUUUGAUGAUGAUUACAUUCGAUUCCAUUUGAUCAUAAUUCCAUUCGAUUCCACUCGAUGAUUCCAUUCGAUUCCAUUCAAUGAUGAUUCCAUUCGAGUUCAUUGACUGUUCCAUUCCAUUCCAUUCGAUGAUUCCAUUCGAGUCCAUUCGAUGAUUCUAUUCGAUUGCAUUCGAUAAUUCCAUUCGAUUGCAUUCGAUAAUUCCAUUCGAUUCCUUUUGAUGAUAAUUCCAUUGGAGUCCAUUCGAUGAUUGUUCCAUUCGAUUCUAUUCGGUGAUUCCAUUCGAUUCCAUUUAAUAAUGAUUCCAUGCGAGACCAUUCGAUGAUUCCAUUCAAUUCCAUUCAAUAAUGAUUCCAUUCGAGUCCAUUCAAUGAUUCCAUUCAAGUCCAUUCGAUGAUUCCGGCUGAUUGCAUUCAAUGAAUCCAUUCGAUUCCAUUCUGUGAUGAUUCCAUUCAUUUCAAUCUGAUGAUGAUUCCAUUCGAUUCCAUUCAAUGAUUCCAUUCGAUUCCAUUUGAUGAUGAUUUCAAUAAAUUUCAUUCAAUGAUUCCAUUCGAAUCCAUUCAAUGAUGAGUCCAUCCAUUUCAAUUUCAUGAUAAUUCCAUUCGUUUCAAUUCGAUGGUGUUUCCAGUCGAUUUCGUUCGAUGUUGAUUCCAUUAGUUUCCAUUGGAUGAUGAUUCCAUUCGAGUCCAUUUGAUGAUGAUCACAUUGGAUUUGAUUCCAUAAUUCUAUUCGAUUCCAUUUGAUGAUGAUUCCGUCUGAUUCCAUUUGAUGAUUCCAUUCGAUUCCAUUCGAUGAUGAUUCCAUUCGUUUCUAUCCGAUGAUGAUUCCAUUCGAUUCCGUUCAAUGAUUAUUCCAUUCGAGUCCAUUCGAUGAUUCCAUUCGAUUCCAUUCGAUGAUGAUUGCAUUCGAGUCCAUGGAAUAUUCCGUUCCAUUCCUUUAGAUGAUUCCAUUCGAGCCCAUUCGAUGAUUCUCUUCGAUUCCAUUCGAUAAUUCCGUUUGAUUCCGUUUGAGGUUGAUUCCAUUCGAGUCCAUUCGAUGAUAAUUCCAUUCGAUUCUAUGCGAUGAUUCCAUACCAUUCCAUUGGAAGAUGAUUCCGUUCGAGACCAUUCGAUGAUUGCAUUCAAUUCAUUCGAUGACGAUUCCAUUCAAUUCCGUUCAAUGAUUCCAUUAGAUUCCAUUUGAUGAUGAUUCCAUUGGAUUCCAUUUGAUGAUGAUUCCAUGCUAUUCCAUUAGAUGAUGACUCCUUUCAUUUCCAUUCAAUGAGGAUUCCAUUCGUUUCCAU
This 4191-nucleotide long non-coding RNA is filed under the name Homo sapiens (human). RNAcentral describes it as "HSALNT0295138". The record is from RNAcentral. Lineage: Eukaryota; Metazoa; Chordata; Mammalia; Primates; Hominidae.